This 315-nucleotide ribosomal RNA is filed under the name uncultured marine eukaryote. RNAcentral describes it as "SSU rRNA". It matches the Rfam family "Eukaryotic small subunit ribosomal RNA", at positions 617 to 932 of the family's 1831-position model. The record is from RNAcentral.
GGUUAAAAAGACUCGUAGUUGGAUUUCUGUCGGUGAGUGAAAGUCCGCUACUCAGUGGUUGGUACUUUUCAACGACCACCGGCAUCUUCCUGGGGAUUGUGUCUGCUCUUUGUUGAGUGGCGCAUAAUCCAGGACUUUUACUUUGAAGAAAUGAGAGUGUUUCAAGCAGGCCUACGCCGUGAAUACGUUAGCAUGGAAUAAUAGCAUCGGACCUCGUUCCAAAGCUGUUGGUUUCUUGGACCGAGGUAAAGGUGAAUAGGGAUUGUUGGGGCAUUCGUAUUUAACUGUCAGAGGUGAAAUUCUUGGAUUUGUUGA